GACGUCCGCGCGCGGCGGCCGCCGCUCCGCGAGGACCAGGAGCCGCCCGGGGACGGGCCCUAAGCGGUGCUGGAGCCGGGCUUCACUGCGGGAACAGAACGUGGCCAAGGCUUUACAAGAACGCGGCUGAAAAAGGAAAACACAGAAGACAACCCGACCACAAAUGACCCAGUUUUUGGCUGUUCCC
Molecule: long non-coding RNA, 187 nt
Organism: Nothoprocta perdicaria
Lineage: Eukaryota; Metazoa; Chordata; Aves; Tinamiformes; Tinamidae
Exons: 2
Source: RefSeq, a predicted model, not a curated record